This 631-nucleotide ribosomal RNA is filed under the name uncultured Flavobacterium sp. RNAcentral describes it as "bacterial SSU rRNA". It matches the Rfam family "Bacterial small subunit ribosomal RNA", at positions 56 to 690 of the family's 1533-position model. Lineage: Bacteria; Pseudomonadati; Bacteroidota; Flavobacteriia; Flavobacteriales; Flavobacteriaceae. The record is from RNAcentral.
UGCAAGUCGAGGGGUAUAGUAGCAAUACUAGAGACCGGCGCACGGGUGCGUAACGCGUAUGCAAUCUACCUUAUACAGAGGGAUAGCCCAGAGAAAUUUGGAUUAAUACCUCAUAGCAUAGCAACUUCGCAUGAAGUCACUAUUAAAGUUCCAACGGUAUAAGAUGAGCAUGCGUCCUAUUAGCUAGAUGGUAAGGUAACGGCUUACCAUGGCUACGAUAGGUAGGGGUCCUGAGAGGGAGAUCCCCCACACUGGUACUGAGACACGGACCAGACUCCUACGGGAGGCAGCAGUGAGGAAUAUUGGACAAUGGGCGCAAGCCUGAUCCAGCCAUGCCGCGUGCAGGAAGACGCAUCUAUGGUGUGUAAACUGCUUUUGUACGGGAAGAAACACUCCCUCGUGAGGGAGCUUGACGGUACCGUAAGAAUAAGGAUCGGCUAACUCCGUGCCAGCAGCCGCGGUAAUACGGAGGAUCCAAGCGUUAUCCGGAAUCAUUGGGUUUAAAGGGUCCGUAGGCGGUUUGGUAAGUCAGUGGUGAAAGCCCAUCGCUUAACGAUGGAACGGCCAUUGAUACUGCCAGACUUGAAUUACUGGGAAGUAACUAGAAUAUGUAGUGUAGCGGUGAAAUGCU